RNAcentral lists this small RNA (487 nucleotides) under Histoplasma ohiense. RNAcentral's name for it is "hypothetical lncRNA". Lineage: Eukaryota; Fungi; Ascomycota; Eurotiomycetes; Onygenales; Ajellomycetaceae. The record is from RNAcentral.
UAACCCCUAGUUGACCGCAAUGAUAUUCGUCUUUAUUUAUAUAGGGGUGUGAUUUUCGCGAUAUCAUUUGGUUGGAAAGGUGUGCAUGCUUCCUCUUCGGGAUUUUAGGAUUGAAGGAUUGAUGUCAGAUAUGUAAUCCACCUUUAUGGUGAGCUAUGUCGAGAUACCGAAGGUCCUUGGUGUUACACACGUCUCACUCUGGAGAUGGGAACUGAGUCUGGUCUGUCAUCGUGUAAAGGAAGGAGUUUGGCCAACCCUCAUAUUCUGGGCCUGGAACAUAGAGUUUGAACACUGGAAAUGAUAUCGAUCGUGCUCCAUCGCAAGGCAAUUAAUUGCUAUUGUGGACUCUGUAGUUUUUAUUGGAAAGACCCAUUGAUGUGGAGAGAAAUGUGGGACCACAGGGAUAUUGUUCUGCCUGGGAAGAAGCCUCGGGAUGCAUAAUAGGUUGAUGACAUAGGCCUUGCGGAGCUAUCUAAUACCAAUACGA